CACUUCAGAAUAUGAAACCGCCAUUAUCUAAUACAGCUCUGAAAAAUCAAAGAAAACAUGAAGCCAAGAAAGCUGCCAAGCAGGAAGCCAGAAAUGAAGGCAGUCAGGAUUUGGCCCUUAAUCCAGCUCCACAGCAGAACCCCCCAUGGAAUGUCUCUCUGCCAACAUCGGGAGACCCUGAGGUAGACAAAAAAUCAAGAACCUGAGAAAGAAACUGAAAGCAAUCCAACAAUUGAAAGAAUAAGCAACUAGUGGUAAACAGCUUGAGAAAAAUCAGAUGGAGAAGAUCCAGAAAGAAAGUGCCCUCCUACAGGAGCUGGAAGACUUGGAGUUGGGUGUUUGAAGUUUUGUGGAAAAUCAGUUACCUGAAAUCAGUGCAAAUACAUUCUCUGUAUUAAACUUACUAGAAUAAUUAAUUUUUUUUUGUUUCAAAUGGCUGAGUCCACACACCUGUACAUAUUUGCUGUUCAUCUAUAUUUCUAACCAUUUAUCUUAAAAUUUGUGCAUGUGGGAAAUUAUUUAAUAAUGUUUAUUAAUUAAAUUUUCAUUUCCUAACAAAAACAGAUAUAGAAAUGCUUAUGUUACAAAUUAGUACUAAUAGUUAAUA
Molecule: long non-coding RNA, 607 nt
Organism: Sarcophilus harrisii (Tasmanian devil)
Lineage: Eukaryota; Metazoa; Chordata; Mammalia; Dasyuromorphia; Dasyuridae
Exons: 4
Source: RefSeq, a predicted model, not a curated record